GUCGGUCAAGGUGGUGCGUGCCUGUAGUCCCAGCUACUCCGGAGGCUGAGGUGGGAGGAUCGCUUGAGCCCAGGAGUUCUGGGCUGCAGUGCGCUAUGCCGAUCGGGUGUCCACACUAAGUUCAGCAUCAAUAUGGUGACCUCCUGGGAGCGGGGAACCACCAGGUUGCCUAAGGAGGGCUGAACCGGCCCAGGUCGGAAACGGAGCAGGUCAGAACUCCCGUGCUGAUCGGUAGUGGGAUCACGCCUGUGAAUAGCCACUGCACUCCAGCCUGGGCAACACAGCGAGACCCUGUCUCU
RNAcentral lists this signal recognition particle RNA (299 nucleotides) under Aotus nancymaae (Ma's night monkey). Its description in RNAcentral is "Metazoan signal recognition particle RNA (ENSANAG00000006282.1)". It matches the Rfam family "Metazoan signal recognition particle RNA". From Rfam's summary of the family: The signal recognition particle (SRP) is a universally conserved ribonucleoprotein. It is involved in the co-translational targeting of proteins to membranes. The record is from RNAcentral. Lineage: Eukaryota; Metazoa; Chordata; Mammalia; Primates; Aotidae.